AUAGUACUCCCUCCGUUCCGAAUUACUUGUCGCACGUAUGGAUGUAUCUAGAUGUAUUUUAGUUUUAAAUACAUUUAUUUCAGCGACGAGUAAUUUAGGACAGAGGGAGUAAUUC
This is a non-coding RNA of Triticum aestivum (bread wheat), 115 nucleotides long. The record is from Rfam. NCBI's taxonomy places the organism in Eukaryota, Viridiplantae, Streptophyta, Magnoliopsida, Poales, Poaceae.